UUUUGCGUACGGAAAACAAAA
Molecule: non-coding RNA, 21 nt
Organism: Caenorhabditis elegans
Lineage: Eukaryota; Metazoa; Nematoda; Chromadorea; Rhabditida; Rhabditidae
Source: Ensembl